This is a long non-coding RNA of Canis lupus familiaris (dog), 1282 nucleotides long. RefSeq lists it as uncharacterized. NCBI's taxonomy places the organism in Eukaryota, Metazoa, Chordata, Mammalia, Carnivora, Canidae. The transcript is spliced from 3 exons. The record is from RefSeq and is a predicted model, not a curated record.
GGCAGCGCCGAGCGAGGGCCUGGCUCCCGGGAGGAGGAUGCGCCCGCGGCGAGGGCCCGGAGCGCCGACGCCGGGCCUCGGGCUCCCGAGAAGUAGACGGUGUGGGCGUGGUUAAGGAGCGCGUGAAGCUCGGGGAGGGCCGGGAGGCGGCGGCACCUGCAGCCCGGAGCCAGCCUGGAAGCUCCCCCGCUCCCAGGACUCGCAAGGGGCGGCGGAGCCUCGCGUCCUGACCCCACGCUCUGGGGAGCGCCUCCAGCUCCCAGCUCUGGGCCUCUCCUUGCGUCCGCGGCUCCCGGGGUCUCCCGGCUGGAUCCCGCCCCCUGCUCUCCCCGCCCACGCUGGAGGAGGGGGCUAAGCCCGACCCCGGGAGCUCCUCGGGAAAGAGGAGCAAAGUGGGAGACGGAAUCCCACCCUGCCAGCUGCGCCUGGGCGGUUGGGAAACCAUGUGGACGCCAGGAUGCGCUUGCCGGUAGACGUGGCGUGAACGAUUGGCUCCCUAGGUUCUUGCUCUUGCUGCCAGGAUGCAGGCAGCGCUCGGACCGACUACCUCCUCCCCAGUCUGCCCAGAGCCUGGAGUUCCCCCCCACCCCCACCGCUUUUGAUCACCCCUCUCCGCCUAUCCUGGGGGACUGGUGAGGAGCUCAGCGGUCCGGACGCCCAGGCGCCCGCGACGGAGGCGGAGAAGCCAGCGCUGGAGAAGCUGUAAGGAAACGAGGAACACGACCUCUAUCUCGUGAAGGUCAUUUAUGUGCAAGCUGAGGGUUUAAGGCGUUGGUGGUGGGAUGGGCUGAAGCCCUCCAGGACCCGGGAGGCGGCUAUUGAGCGCCACCAUCUGGGCUGAACUCGAGCAGAGAAGGCUCCACCCACCCUGUAGCUUUUCAGAUCCUUCCUUGGGGGACCCGACCCCUCUGCUUUUGGCAGCGAAAGUAGCUGGAGAACCUUUGAAAACGAAUCCAGAAAGUACAUUUGACCUGACUGCACAGAGAAGGUGAUCUCCUCCAUGGAGAAGACUAAGAUUGCUUCAGACAAAUCAGGGCCAAACCCCAUCCUCAGCAAAGAGAACAAGAAGGAAGCAAAGAGCACAGGUGCUGCAGCCAUCUUGACAUAAUGAAGAGAGAGAUCUCAACACUUUGUUAAGAGUUUUCAGUUGUGGGACCCCUGCAUGGCUCAGUGGUUGAGCAUCUGCCUUCUGCUCAGGUCGUGACCCCCAGGUCCUGGGAUAGAGUCCUGCAUCAGGCUCCCUGUGGGGACCUUGAUUCUUCCUCUGCCUAUGUCUCUGCCC